Molecule: transfer RNA, 80 nt
Filed under: Stenotrophomonas maltophilia
Lineage: Bacteria; Pseudomonadati; Pseudomonadota; Gammaproteobacteria; Lysobacterales; Lysobacteraceae
Description: tRNA-Ser(gga)
Source: RNAcentral
GCCCGGCUGGAACAGGUCAGUGCAUUGGCGGGCCUGGAGCGCACGCGCCUGCUGCGCUGGAUCGCAGCCAGCGCGGGGCU